RNAcentral lists this ribosomal RNA (799 nucleotides) under uncultured cyanobacterium. RNAcentral describes it as "bacterial SSU rRNA". It matches the Rfam family "Bacterial small subunit ribosomal RNA", at positions 56 to 904 of the family's 1533-position model. Lineage: Bacteria; Bacillati; Cyanobacteriota. The record is from RNAcentral.
UGCAAGUCGAACGGAAUCUUUCGGGAUUUAGUGGCGGACGGGUGAGUAACGCGUGAGAAUCUGCCUUCAGGUUCGGGACAACAGCUGGAAACGGCUGCUAAUACCGGAUGUGCCGAGAGGUGAAAGCUUUAGUGCCUGGAGAUGAGCUCGCGUCUGAUUAGCUAGUAGGAGUGGUAACGGCACCCCUAGGCGACGAUCAGUAGCUGGUCUGAGAGGAUGAUCAGCCACACUGGGACUGAGACACGGCCCAGACUCCUACGGGAGGCAGCAGUGGGGAAUUUUCCGCAAUGGGCGCAAGCCUGACGGAGCAAGACCGCGUGAGGGAAGAAGGUCUGUGGAUUGUAAACCUCUUUUGACAGGGAAGAAGACAGUGACGGUACCUGUCGAAUCAGCCUCGGCUAACUCCGUGCCAGCAGCCGCGGUAAUACGGAGGAGGCAAGCGUUAUCCGGAAUUAUUGGGCGUAAAGAGUCCGUAGGUGGGUCACCCAGUCAGCUGUUAAAUAGUGAAGCUUAACUUCAUAGAGGCGGCUGAAACUGGUGGUCUAGAGUGUGGUAGGGUAGAGGGAAUUUCCAGUGUAGCGGUGAAAUGCGUAGAUAUUGGAAAGAACACCGGUGGCGAAAGCGCUCUACUGGGCCUGCACUGACACUGAGGGACGAAAGCUAGGGGAGCGAAAGGGAUUAGAUACCCCUGUAGUCCUAGCCGUAAAGAUGGAUCUAGGGUUGCCCGUAUCGACCCGGGAGUGUCUUACCAACCGUUAAAUUCCCGCCUGGGGAGUACCCACGCAAGAGUGAAACUCAA